This 214-nucleotide long non-coding RNA is filed under the name Homo sapiens (human). RNAcentral's name for it is "HSALNT0339226". The record is from RNAcentral. Lineage: Eukaryota; Metazoa; Chordata; Mammalia; Primates; Hominidae.
UAAGCUUAACCUUUUCUCCCUGGUGGAGGAACCACUUGCAUGAGAAUAAGAGGUUGUUCCCCAGAAAGCCAUGUUGGUUCACCACAUGUAUCGCAUCCUGAUAAUGUGAAGUGAAAAAGUAGAGCCUGGAAGCCUUUGUAAGAUGACUGUGCCAGAGGAGGAAGAUAAAUAUCUCGAUGCUAUGGAGGCCUGUCAGCUCUUUGAAGUAUCUGGG